AUUAUUAUGGUUAUUUGGGGAUGUGUGUUUGUCUGCACAAUGCUGUGUUAUUCUGUGGUCCACUCGUUAUAUGUAUAGGCAGGGUGUGGGUGUAUAGGUGUGGCUGUAGGAUGGAGGACAGCCACCUGCAGGCCUGAUGGGUGUGGCCCUGCUGGAGGACUGGCCACACCUGAAGUCCCUGCCACACACCUGCUGCUGAUCUGGGCUCGUCGGGGGAGCUAUUUAGGAGAGUGUUGGAGCUCCCACCGGCGCGGGAUCAUUGAGCUAGACUCCAAGUGGAACGAGGGACCAGAAGGGCAGCACGCACAGGGUGUGCAGAAACACAACUGCCGGGAGCACGAGCACGGACGUCAGAGGGGAACACACACACGGGAGUCUAGGGAGCAAAGGGGGUUUAUUGUGCAUCUGUUACCUCACUGUAAAUAAACGCACUGUUCACA
Molecule: long non-coding RNA, 440 nt
Organism: Oreochromis niloticus (Nile tilapia)
Lineage: Eukaryota; Metazoa; Chordata; Actinopteri; Cichliformes; Cichlidae
Exons: 2
Source: RefSeq, a predicted model, not a curated record